RNAcentral lists this ribosomal RNA (136 nucleotides) under uncultured eukaryote. RNAcentral describes it as "partial 18S ribosomal RNA". It matches the Rfam family "Eukaryotic small subunit ribosomal RNA", at positions 1299 to 1458 of the family's 1831-position model. The record is from RNAcentral.
UGGUGGAGUGAUUUGUCUGGUUUAUUCCGAUAACGAACGAGACUCUGGCCUACUAACUAGCGUACGAAUCUCCUCUGUUUGCUACGCUUCUUAGAGGGACAAGCAGUGCUCAGCUGCAUGAGAAAGAGCAAUAACA